GAUGAACGCUGGCGGCGCGCCUAACACAUGCAAGUCGAACGGCACCCCUCCUCGGAGGGAAGCGAGUGGCGAACGGCUGAGUAACACGUGGAGAACCUGCCCCCUCCCCCGGGAUAGCCGCCCGAAAGGACGGGUAAUACCGGAUACCCCCGGGCGCCGCAUGGCGCCCGGGCUAAAGCCCCGACGGGAGGGGAUGGCUCCGCGGCCCAUCAGGUAGACGGCGGGGUGACGGCCCACCGUGCCGACAACGGGUAGCCGGGUUGAGAGACCGACCGGCCAGAUUGGGACUGAGACACGGCCCAGACUCCUACGGGAGGCAGCAGUGGGGAAUCUUGCGCAAUGGGGGGAACCCUGACGCAGCGACGCCGCGUGCGGGACGGAGGCCUUCGGGUCGUAAACCGCUUUCAGCAGGGAAGAGUCAAGACUGUACCUGCAGAAGAAGC
This 443-nucleotide ribosomal RNA is filed under the name uncultured bacterium. RNAcentral's name for it is "bacterial SSU rRNA". It matches the Rfam family "Bacterial small subunit ribosomal RNA", at positions 28 to 491 of the family's 1533-position model. The record is from RNAcentral.